This is a long non-coding RNA of Oreochromis aureus, 200 nucleotides long. RefSeq lists it as uncharacterized. Lineage: Eukaryota; Metazoa; Chordata; Actinopteri; Cichliformes; Cichlidae. The record is from RefSeq and is a predicted model, not a curated record. The transcript has 3 exons.
GAAGGAGCAGUAGCAUGCCGAGAGAUUAUCCAGCACUGCACUAAAGACAGUAAAGGCUUCCCACCUGACCUCCUACACGACCUGUUUGAAGGUGUCGUUCCAGUGGAGUUGGCACAUUGUUUAAAAGUGUCUGACUAAAGAAACAGAACUGAGACAUCAGCUGAUUCCACCAAUUUGUGAACCAAUGUAAAGGUAAUUCA